This 253-nucleotide ribosomal RNA is filed under the name uncultured bacterium. RNAcentral's name for it is "partial 16S ribosomal RNA". It matches the Rfam family "Bacterial small subunit ribosomal RNA", at positions 524 to 776 of the family's 1533-position model. The record is from RNAcentral.
UACAGAGGGUGCAAGCGUUGUUCGGAAUUAUUGGGCGUAAAGGGCGUGUAGGCGGUUUGAUAAGUCUUCUGUGAAAUCUACGGGCUUAACCUGUAACGUGCAGAGGAAACUGUCAGGCUUGAGUGUCGGAGAGGAUAGGGGAAUUCCCGGUGUAGAGGUGAAAUUCGUAGAGAUCGGGAGGAACACCAGUGGCGAAGGCGCCUAUCUGGCUGAAAACUGACGCUGAGACUCGAAAGCAUGGGGAGCAAACAGG